GACGAACGCUGGCGGCGUGCUUAACACAUGCAAGUCGAGCGGUAAGGCCCUUUCGGGGGUACGACGAGCGGCGAACGGGUGAGUAACACGUGGGUGACCUGCCCUCAGCUCUGGGAUAAGCCUGGGAAACCGGGUCUAAUACCGGAUAUGACUCCAUGACGCAUGUUGUGGGGUGGAAAGCCUUGUGCGGCUGAGGAUGGGCCCGCGGCCUAUCAGCUUGUUGGUGGGGUGAUGGCCUACCAAGGCGACGACGGGUAGCCGGCCUGAGAGGGCGACCGGCCACACUGGGACUGAGACACGGCCCAGACUCCUACGGGAGGCAGCAGUGGGGAAUCUUGCGCAAUGGGCGAAAGCCUGACGCAGCGACGCCGCGUGGGGAGUGAAGGUCUUCGGAUUGUAAACCCCUUUACGGGAGGGAAGAUGGAAGUGGGGUAACCCACUUCGGACCGGUACCUCCAGAAGCAGCCACGGCGUAACUUCGUGCCAGCCGCCGCGGUAAU
RNAcentral lists this ribosomal RNA (500 nucleotides) under uncultured bacterium. Its description in RNAcentral is "bacterial SSU rRNA". It matches the Rfam family "Bacterial small subunit ribosomal RNA", at positions 28 to 524 of the family's 1533-position model. The record is from RNAcentral.